AAUUUAUAAAAAAAAGAAUAGGUGUGCUCCUGGCACAAGCAGCUUCUUUUGAUACAACACUAGACACAAACAUGCACACACGUGCAUUGGCCGCAACUAUGCACACAUGUAAAUACAUAUAUGUAUCCAUGAAAAUACCUUCCUGCUAUCUACACACAUAUACAAGUAGUGAUUUCAAAAGUUAGACCAAGUAGUUGAAUUGGAGAAUUCUUUCCAAUUCAACUAUUUUGGACUCAAUUUUGACAUUCAUUUAAUUCACCACCGUCCACUCCAUAGUGAUAGAGCAUUGUGAGUUUG
Pelobates cultripes (western spadefoot toad) is the source of this 297-nucleotide non-coding RNA. The record is from the annotation of a GenBank genome assembly. NCBI's taxonomy places the organism in Eukaryota, Metazoa, Chordata, Amphibia, Anura, Pelobatidae.